This 212-nucleotide ribosomal RNA is filed under the name Thiotrichales bacterium. Its description in RNAcentral is "partial 16S ribosomal RNA". It matches the Rfam family "Bacterial small subunit ribosomal RNA", at positions 1326 to 1533 of the family's 1533-position model. The record is from RNAcentral. Lineage: Bacteria; Pseudomonadati; Pseudomonadota; Gammaproteobacteria; Thiotrichales.
UCGGAAUCGCUAGUAAUCGCGUAACAGCAUGACGCGGUGAAUACGUUCCCGGGCCUUGUACACACCGCCCGUCACACCAUGGGAGUUGGGUCUACCCGAAGACGGUGCGCCAACCUGUUCGCAGGGGGCAGCUGGCCACGGUAGGCUCAGCGACUGGGGUGAAGUCGUAACAAGGUAGCCGUAGGGGAACCUGCGGCUGGAUCACCUCCUUU